This 708-nucleotide long non-coding RNA is filed under the name Mus musculus (house mouse). RNAcentral describes it as "predicted gene 29154, transcript variant 9 (Gm29154)". Lineage: Eukaryota; Metazoa; Chordata; Mammalia; Rodentia; Muridae. The record is from RNAcentral.
UGAACAUUCCAGGCUCUGUGAACUAAGUGACUGAAGCUGAUUGACACAGGUCAAGGGGACUUCAAGGAAGAAAGCCAGCCUUAGACUGACAUCAGAGAACCAAACUCCGGUGUCUAAGCUCAAGAGGUUAGAAUCCUGAGAACUGUUUGGAAUAAGGAAUCCAAAUAUUGUCUUCCAGCUUCACCUUGUCACGACAGUCCUCGCCAGGGACAGCUGAGCAUCUACAUCUCCAUUUAUGCCGUGUGCACGCAGUACCAACAGAGGUCAGAGGAGGGUGUCGGAUCCCCUGGAACUGGAGUCACAGAUUCUUCCUUGCGUGGAUGAAACAGUCCCAACGAACACUUUAAAAAGACAAAUGUUCCCGACAGCACUGGUUGAAUUCAAAACUCGGCAGAUCCAUGUUCUUAUCCUUAGACAAGAGAGGGGCCAUAACAAGAUGGAAUGACGGAACAGACGUGAGAGAUGAUGUCCACCCAGAGGGUCUGCACUUCUCGGAGCCAGAAGGUGGAGAAGAGUAGGGAUGGAGGAAGUUCGAAGUUUUAGGAGUCUGCUCUUGGGUCCCUAGGCAUGAGGACAAGCUUUUCCUGUACUCAAUGCUCAUCUCUCAGUUGUGCCCACAUUGGUACACAUUACUUGCUUUCAACUGCUGCUGCUGCUGUUUCCUAAUUCAAUAAAGAUAUGGCUGGCUCAGCAGAGAGCUGUCAUCCA